RNAcentral lists this unclassified non-coding RNA (133 nucleotides) under soil metagenome. Its description in RNAcentral is "partial internal transcribed spacer 1". The record is from RNAcentral.
CCGAGUUAUCCAACUCCCAACCCUGUGAAUUAUACCUUUAAUUGUUGCUUCGGCGGGACUUCGCGCCCGCCGGGGACCCAAACCUUCUGAAUUUUUUAAUAAGUAUCUUCUGAGUGGUUAAAAAAAUGAAUCA